RNAcentral lists this ribosomal RNA (497 nucleotides) under uncultured bacterium. Its description in RNAcentral is "partial 16S ribosomal RNA". It matches the Rfam family "Bacterial small subunit ribosomal RNA", at positions 28 to 507 of the family's 1533-position model. The record is from RNAcentral.
GAUGAACGCUGGCGGCGUGCCUAAUACAUGCAAGUCGAGCGAACAGAUGAGGAGCUUGCUCCUCUGACGUUAGCGGCGGACGGGUGAGUAACACGUGGAUAACCUACCUAUAAGACUGGGAUAACUUCGGGAAACCGGAGCUAAUACCGGAUAAUAUAUUGAACCGCAUGGUUCAAUAUUGAAAGACGGGUUUGCUGUCACUUAUAGAUGGAUCCGCGCCGCAUUAGCUAGUUGGUAAGGUAACGGCUUACCAAGGCACCGAUGCGUAGCCGACCUGAGAGGGUGCUCGGCCACACUGGAACUGCGACACGGUCCAGACUCCUACGGGAGGCAGCAGUAGGGAAUCUUCCGCAAUGGGCGAAAGCCUGACGGAGCAACGCCGCGUGAGUGAUGACGGUCUUCGGAUCGUACAACUCUGUUAUCAGGGAAGAACAAAUGUGUAAGUAACUAUGCACGUCUUGACGGUACCUAAUCAGAAAGCCACGGCUAACUCCGUG